This 396-nucleotide ribosomal RNA is filed under the name uncultured bacterium. RNAcentral's name for it is "partial 16S ribosomal RNA". It matches the Rfam family "Bacterial small subunit ribosomal RNA", at positions 361 to 774 of the family's 1533-position model. The record is from RNAcentral.
AUCUUGCGCAAUGGGCGAAAGCCUGACGCAGCCAUGCCGCGUGAAGGAUGAAGGUCUUNGGAUUGNANAAUUCUUUCACCGGGGANGCUAAUGUCGGUACCUGGAGAAGAAGCCCCGGCUAACUUCGUGCCAGCAGCCGCGGUAAUACGAAGGGGGCUAGCGUUGCUCGGAAUUACUGGGCGUAAAGGGCGCGUAGGCGGAUCGUUAAGUCAGAGAUGAAAUCCCAGGGCUCAACACUGGAACUGCCUUUGAUACUGGCGAUCUUGAGUAUGAGAGAGGUAUGUGGAACUCCGAGUGUAGAGGUGAAAUUCGUAGAUAUUCGGAAGAACACCAGUGGCGAAGGCGACAUACUGGCUCAUUACUGACGCUGAGGCGCGAAAGCGUGGGGAGCAAACA